RNAcentral lists this unclassified non-coding RNA (205 nucleotides) under soil metagenome. Its description in RNAcentral is "partial contains 5.8S ribosomal RNA, internal transcribed spacer 2, and large subunit ribosomal RNA". The record is from RNAcentral.
AACAAGGCGUACCUGCGGACCUGCGGAAGGAUCAUUACAGGAUUCGCAAGACUCCCGUAACCACUGUGAACUUUACCUUUUGUUGCCUCGGCGGGUGCUGGACUCGCUCCAGCGCUCACGCCCGCCGGCGGCCCACAACUCAUUGUCUGAUUCUAAGCAUCUCCGAGCUAUACACAAACGAAUCAAAACUUUCAACAAUGGAUCU